UCAUUCGCACACGUCAUCCGCAUCACUUUGAAUACUGAUCUAAAUUCGCAUGGUGCGUUCCGCGCUCUGGGAAUUUACGGGUGGUACUUCGGUGGAUCAGUGUGUGCUUGCACCUCUGACCUGCUGGUGGCUACUCCUUCCUCGCUAAACCUGCUUACUCAGUAUCGUAUGUGUGAAUGUCUUUUGAAAAUCUUCAGCGACGGAUGUCUCGGCUCAGGCAACGAUGAAGGGCGUAGCGAAGUGCGAUAAGCAUUUUGAAUUGCAGAGUUCCGUGAGUCAACAGAAACUUGAACGCAUGUUGCGCUUUCAGGAAAUUCCUGACAGCACGCCUGCUUCAGUGCCUACUGCGUUUGCUUCCAGUCACAGCCAGUCCGUUCACGCGGCGGUGGUGACUGUGUAUCACUGUGCGUCAAAGAGCUCGUUUGAACCUUUGUCGUGCGCAAUACAGUAUUGGGGUGGUAGCAUUCCUAUGGCGAGUAGCUUGGUAAACCUUUUUGUGGUAAUUUCCUGCCCGGCGCCAUUGAGGAAGCUCCCUUGUAUGGGGUAUAACUUCUGUCUACCUACUCCCUUUUCUCAAGGCAU
This 582-nucleotide unclassified non-coding RNA is filed under the name Islandinium tricingulatum. RNAcentral's name for it is "contains ITS1, 5.8S rRNA and ITS2". The stretch from base 189 to 343 matches the Rfam family "5.8S ribosomal RNA". The record is from RNAcentral. Lineage: Eukaryota; Dinophyceae; Peridiniales; Protoperidiniaceae.